GCAAGUCGAACGGUAGCAGUUCUUCGGGAGCUGACGAGUGGCGAACGGGUGAGUAACGCGUAGGAAUAUACCUUUUUGUGGGGGACAACUCGUGGAAACGCGAGCUAAUACCGCAUGUGGUCUUCGGAGCAAAGCUGGGGACCUUCGGGCCUGGCGCAAAGAGAUUAGCCUGCGUCCGAUUAGCUAGUUGGUAGGGUAAAGGCCUACCAAGGCGACGAUCGGUAGCUGGUCUGAGAGGAUGAUC
This 244-nucleotide ribosomal RNA is filed under the name uncultured bacterium. RNAcentral describes it as "partial 16S ribosomal RNA". It matches the Rfam family "Bacterial small subunit ribosomal RNA", at positions 57 to 305 of the family's 1533-position model. The record is from RNAcentral.